RNAcentral lists this ribosomal RNA (445 nucleotides) under uncultured bacterium. RNAcentral describes it as "partial 16S ribosomal RNA". It matches the Rfam family "Bacterial small subunit ribosomal RNA", at positions 354 to 796 of the family's 1533-position model. The record is from RNAcentral.
GUGAGGAAUAUUGGACAAUGGGCGCAAGCCUGAUCCAGCCAUGCCGCGUGCAGGAAGACGCAUCUAUGGUGUGUAAACUGCUUUUGUACGGGAAGAAACACUCCCUCGUGAGGGAGCUUGACGGUACCGUAAGAAUAAGGAUCGGCUAACUCCGUGCCAGCAGCCGCGGUAAUACGGAGGAUCCAAGCGUUAUCCGGAAUCAUUGGGUUUAAAGGGUCCGUAGGCGGUUUAAUAAGUCAGUGGUGAAAGCCCAUCGCUCAACGAUGUAACGGCCAUUGAUACUGUUAGACUUGAAUUACAAGGAAGUAACUAGAAUAUGUAGUGUAGCGGUGAAAUGCUUAGAUAUUACAUGGAAUACCAAUUGCGAAGGCAGGUUACUACUUGUGGAUUGACGCUGAUGGACGAAAGCGUGGGGAGCGAACAGGAUUAGAUACCCUUGUAGUCC